Molecule: ribosomal RNA, 301 nt
Filed under: uncultured bacterium
Lineage: Bacteria
Description: partial 16S ribosomal RNA
Rfam family: Bacterial small subunit ribosomal RNA
Source: RNAcentral
CAGCCGCCACGGUAAUGCGAAGGGUGCAAGCGUUAAUCGGAAUUACUGGGCGUAAAGCGUGCGUAGGCGGUGAGUUAAGUCUGCUGUGAAAUCCCCGGGCUCAACCUGGGAAUGGCAGUGGAUACUGGCUCGCUAGAGUGUGUCAGAGGAUGGUGGAAUUCCCGGUGUAGCGGUGAAAUGCGUAGAGAUCGGGAGGAACAUCAGUGGCGAAGGCGGCCAUCUGGGACAACACUGACGCUGAGGCACGAAAGCGUGGGGAGCAAACAGGAUUAGAUACCCCAGUAGUCCCUGUCUCUUAUAC